RNAcentral lists this ribosomal RNA (485 nucleotides) under uncultured bacterium. RNAcentral's name for it is "partial 16S ribosomal RNA". It matches the Rfam family "Bacterial small subunit ribosomal RNA", at positions 29 to 523 of the family's 1533-position model. The record is from RNAcentral.
AGUGAACGCUGGCGGCGUGCUUAACACAUGCAAGUCGAACGAGAACGGAAUAUAGCUUGCUAUAUUUGUCAGCUAAGUGGCGCACGGGUGAGUAAUAUAUAGAUAACCUGCCCUUAAGAAAGGAAUAACAGUUGGAAACGACUGCUAAUGCCCUAUAUGCCUUUAAUACAUAAGUAUGCAAGGGAAACGCUUUAUUGCUUAAGGAUGGGUCUGUAUGGUAUCAGAUUGUUGGUUAGGUAAUGGCUCACCAAGGCUAUGACGCUUAACUGGUUUGAGAAGAUGAUAGGUCACACUGGAACUGAGACACGGUCCAGACUCCUACGGGAGGCAGCAGUGGGGAAUAUUGCACAAUGGACGAAAGUCUGAUGCAGCAACGCCGCGUGGAGGAUGACACAUUUCGGUGCGUAAACUCCUUUUAUAUAGGAAGAUAAUGACGGUACUAUAUGAAUAAGCACCGGCUAACUCCGUGCCAGCAGCCGCGGUAA